RNAcentral lists this long non-coding RNA (721 nucleotides) under Coffea arabica (coffee). Its description in RNAcentral is "long non-coding RNA (CARA_LNC001612)". The record is from RNAcentral. Lineage: Eukaryota; Viridiplantae; Streptophyta; Magnoliopsida; Gentianales; Rubiaceae.
AGUAUGUUGUGGUAGGUAUCUCUAGUGGGUGUCGUGAUGGCCAGGGAGCUUUUCCAUAAUCUUCUCCAUCAUGCUCUUCUUUUCAUGCUGCUGUUCCCGGUGCUGACCCCCGACUGUAGUAGACGUCCCGCUGCCAGUGGUGGUUGUUGGAGGAGAGGCGCUGUGUGCGUGCUGAUCAUCUAUGUGCUCCUGAUCGUCUCUGUCCUUGUGCCUCCCGCCCGUUAGUUUCUCCUUUAUCUUUUCUUUCAACCCUUUUUUCUUUCUUCUUCCUCCUUGUCCAUCAUCCUCCGACUAUAAACCAAAUUCAACAACUCAACCACCAAAAUUUUCUUUUAGCUAACAACAUUCAAAUUCAACAGGAGCCUGAUUCGAUAUUAUGUAAGUUCCAGGAAAAAAAACAAAACGUGUACACUUUACGUUAAAUUACGGUUCAUUAUUAACAGGAUCUGUCAGGCAAACAAUUAUGAUGGCGCAUUAUACACACACAGACACACACAUUGUAACUUGGCAAGUAUCUCACCGAGCCAGAGCUUGAGCUGCUAGACCGAUGAAGCUGCUCCUGAUGUUGCUGGGUUCCAGUGGCAGCAGUUGGUCCGGUUCCAGUAGAAUGGACAGCACUAGCCGUCCCGGCGGUGAUAGCUACACCGCUAAGCUGCAUUGGGUUGCCAUACUCGUCCUGGAGCUGAACCGGGUUGCCAUACUGGUCGGUCAACUGCAUAGG